AGAGUUUGAUUAUGGCUCAGAAGCCUGCAUGGCGCUGCUUUCACUGCAAGUCGUACGGCUGCGCGGGCUUCGGCCUGGCGGCGAGUGGCGAGCGGGUGAGUAAUACAUCGAGAACGUGCCCAGUAGUGGGGGAUAGCCCGGCGAAAGCCGGAUUAAUACCGCAUACUACCUGAGGGUGAAAGCGGGGGACCGAAAGGCCUCGCGCUAUUGGAGCGGCCGAUGUCGGAUUAGCUAGUUGGUGGGGUAAAGGCCUACCAAGGCGACGAUCCGUAGCUGGUCUGAGAGGACGACCAGCCACACUGGGACUGAAACUCGGACCAGACUCCUACGGGAGGCAGCACUGGGGAAUUUUGGACAAUGGGGGCAACCCUGAUCCAGCACAUGCCGCGUGGGGGAAGAAGGCCUUCCGGUUGUAAACCGCUUUUGUCAGGGAAGAAAUCCUCUGGGCUAAUAUCCCGGGGGGAUGACGGUACCUGAAGAAUAAGCACCGGCUAACUACGUGCCAACAGCCGCGGUAAUACGUAGGGUGCUACCGUUCAUCGGAAUUACUGGGCGUACAAGCGUGUGCAGGCGGUUGUGCAAGACAGAUGUGAAAUCCCCCGGCUUAACCUGGAAACUGCAUUUGUGACUGCACGGCUAGAGUGCGGCAAGAGGGCAGUGGAAUUCCGCGUGUGACAAUGAAAUGCCCAGAUAUGCGGAGGAACACCUAUGGUUAAUGCUGCUCCCUGGGACUGCACUGACACUCAUGCACAAAUACGUGUGGAGCAAACAGGAUUAGAUACUCUGGUAGUACACGCCCUAGACGAUGUCAACUGGUUGUUGGUCCUUCACUGCAUCACUAACGUACCUGACGCGUGAAGUUGACAGCCUGGCGAGUACGGCCCGCAGGUUGAAACUCAAAUGAAUUGACGGGG
RNAcentral lists this ribosomal RNA (914 nucleotides) under uncultured beta proteobacterium. RNAcentral's name for it is "bacterial SSU rRNA". It matches the Rfam family "Bacterial small subunit ribosomal RNA", at positions 8 to 918 of the family's 1533-position model. Lineage: Bacteria; Pseudomonadati; Pseudomonadota; Betaproteobacteria. The record is from RNAcentral.